CUACGGGGCGCUGCAGUGGGGAAUUUUGGACAAUGGGCGCAAGCCUGAUCCAGCCAUUCCGCGUGAGUGAAGAAGGCCUUCGGGUUGUAAAGCUCUUUCGCAAGGGAAGAAAACUUAUCCUCUAACAUAGGGUGAGGUUGACGGUACCUUGAUAAGAAGCACCGGCUAACUACGUGCCAGCAGCCGCGGUAAUACGUAGGGUGCGAGCGUUAAUCGGAAUUACUGGGCGUAAAGCGUGCGCAGGCUGUUUUGUAAGUCAGAUGUGAAAUCCCCGAGCUCAACUUGGGAACUGCGUUUGAAACUACAAGACUAGAAUAUGUCAGAGGGGGGUAGAAUUCCAUGUGUAGCAGUGAUAUGCGUAGAGAUGUGGAGGAAUACCAAUGGCGAAGGCAGCCCCCUGGGAUAAUAUUGACGCUCAUGCACGAAAGCGUGGGGAGCAAACAGGAUUAGAUACCCCGGUAGUC
RNAcentral lists this ribosomal RNA (464 nucleotides) under uncultured bacterium. Its description in RNAcentral is "partial 16S ribosomal RNA". It matches the Rfam family "Bacterial small subunit ribosomal RNA", at positions 339 to 795 of the family's 1533-position model. The record is from RNAcentral.